AGAUAGCCUAUCGUAGAAUAGUGCAUAGAGUGUUGCUAAGUCAAACGGCCUGGGCCAUUGCGAGAAAGUGUGAAAGCCCGGCCCGGAAAUUGCAGUUCGUGGCGGGUCGGCAGGCGAACGUCCGCUGACUGCAGCUACCGGUCAGACCCAGUCUAGACAAGCACCGACUGGCAGACAGGCACCGUAGCAACCACAAUUUCAAAACCCUAUUACUCUCUCUCUCUCUCUCUCUCUACAUUCAUCACUAUGAUCGACGACGAGAGAGAGGGAGAGAUUAGGGAUGCUAUCGAACUUGCUUCGGACGAUGCGCUAUCCAGCCCUAGCAGUAGUGGUUACGUCGGCGAAAGAGGCAGCACCAGUGCCACCAGCGAUUCUCAAAUUGAGAUUGAGCAUGAAGAAAUAGAGGAGGAUGCGAGGAUUGAAAUCGAUUCAAUCUCAAUCUCCGACUCCCACCAUUCUUGGAUUCCUGGAAAACGGCAUCUCGACGAGGAUGAUGCUUCCAUAUCAUGGAGGAAAAGGAAGAAGCAUUUCUUUAUUCUCAGUCAUUCUGGCAAACCUAUAUAUUCUAGGUAUGGAGAUGAACACAGGCUUGCAGGGUUUUCAGCAACUUUGCAAGCAAUCAUUUCCUUUGUUGAGAACGGGGGUGACUCUAUCAAAUUGGUGAGGGCUGGAAAGCAUCAGGUGAUUUUUCUUGUGAAAGGACCAAUCUACUUAGUCUGCAUCAGCUCCACAGAAGAACCUUAUGAAUCAUUAAGGGGGCAGUUGGAGCUGAUUUACGGUCAGAUGCUUGUUAUACUUACAAAAUCAGUAAACAGAUGUUUUGAGAAGAAUCCAAAAUUCGAUAUGACACCCUUGCUUGGCGGAACAGACAUUGUCUUCUCUUCACUAAUUCACUCUUUCAGUUGGAACCCAGCUACAUUUCUUCAUGCCUAUACUUGUCUUCCUCUUGCAUAUGCAACAAGGCAAGCUGCGGGAGCUAUCUUGCAAGACAUUGCUGAUUCAGGUGUUUUGUUUUCUAUACUGAUGUGCAGGCACAAGGUGAUCAGUCUUGUCGGUGCACAGAAAGCUUCCCUUCAUCCUGAUGAUAUGCUGCUGCUGGCCAAAUUUGUCAUGUCAUCUGAAUCCUUCAGGAUGUCAGAAUCUUUUUCUCCAGUUUGCUUGCCAAGAUAUAAUCCUUCAGCAUUUUUGUAUGCUUAUAUCCAUUUCUUUGAUGCUGACACAUAUUUGAUCUUGCUAACCACUAGUUCAGAUGCAUUUUAUCAUCUUAAGGAUUGCAGGAUUCGCAUCGAGAUGGUCCUUUUGAAGUCUAGUGUCCUCAGUGAAGUUCAGAGAUCCUUGCUAAACGGUGGAAUGCAUGUUGAGGAUCUGCCACCUAUACCUCAUUCUGGAUCAUCUCAUUUGGGCCAGCACAUGCCUCCACCAGAUUCUCCUGAAAGAUUUAGGGAACCAAAUUCUGGCACUGGGGGUCCUGCUGGAUUGUGGCAUUUCAUAUACCGCAGUAUAUAUUUGGAUCAAUAUCUCUCUUCAGAGUUUUCAUCAUCAAUUAACACACCUCAGCAGCAGAAAAGACUGUAUAGAGCUUACCAGAAGCUUUUUGCAUCCAUGCAUGCCAAAGGAAUUUGGCCACACAAAACUCAAUUUAGGAGAGAUGAAAACUACGGUAAUAAAUAUUGUGAUUCAUACUUAAUAGCUCAUACUCAUAGCGUGUGUGUGCACUGCGUGAUUUUCUGUCUGAAAUGGAUUCUGCACUGUGCCAUUUUGUAUGGAUAUGGAAAUGACAUAAUGCAUUGUGACAUUUGGUUUUGUGAAUCCCACAUUCAGCAGGAAGCCAAAAUACUUUAAUGACACAUUAUCAUGACGUUACCAAAUUUGCAUCCUUUAUAAUAUUUUAACUUUUAUAUGUUUUUGGUACUUGUACUUAGCAAUGCGCAGAUAAACUGAUUCAUUUUCACAAACUUAUGCAAAAUUAAUUCUUUCAAAAAACAGUUUUCUCCAAGUAAUUUUGUGCUGGUUAUCUAAACAUCUAUGGUUACCAAAGUUCAGUUAGAGUUCUCCGUUAGGGCGACUCGAUAGCGAGAUUAAUAGCCUUUGGUAAAUUCUUUUAUUCAGAAAGUAGGCUCUGCUUUAUCUCUAGAUCGGAUUCCAUGCCUCGUCUCUUCUAGCCCUUGAAAGGCAGGAAGCCCUUAGGUAUAGGUUGGGGAAAACUCCAAACAAAACAAAAAAGGGCCUUAUUCUUCCUUAUAUUAAAUAUAAGUUUUAGAAUUAUAUCCAAAAUCUGCAUAUUUGUUAUAUUUGAGUCUGCAAUUAUGGGUUGAUGCAACUCUUUUCUGGUGCAGGGAGAAAUGGGGGUGGAGUGUAUGAAUUCAUGCUUUAUUUAUGGCCUUUUCUCAAUAUUAAGCUUUAAUGGUAUUUUUAGACUAUGGAGAGAUUGAGCUUGUUCACCAUGAGAUAUUUUUGAGAUUUAUGCCAAGAGAAAUACUGGCAAAACAUUUUUUUUAUUGCCUGAAUUCCACUAAAAAGGGAGUGAAGCCACAUGAUUUGAUGUCUCCUAAAUUAAUUUUACCAAAUAAAAUAUGUUGGAAAAAGCAUGUCAAAAGUGUGUUAUCAGUAUUCUUCUUGAUGGAAUAAAAGACAAACCAAUUGAAUUUGGAUGAAACUCACAGGAUCUUCAUUUUAUGGCAGUUCUUCUCUGUUGGGUGACACAGGAUUUUGAGCUUUAUGCUGCCUUUGAUCCCCUUGCAGACAAGGCCUUGGCGAUAAAGACUUGCAACCAUGUUUGUCAAUGGAUAAAAGAUGUAGAAAAUGAAAUAUUUUUACUAGGAGCUAGCCCCUUUUCAUGGUGAUUUCCAUGCAAAUGCUGUAAACAUGUAUGAUGAUUUUUUAUUCAAUAUAAUUCCUACAAAAUGUAUUAUUU
This is an RNA transcript of Abrus precatorius (Indian licorice), 2914 nucleotides long. It is a transcript of the gene named vacuolar fusion protein MON1 homolog, with no coding region annotated. The transcript is spliced from 13 exons. NCBI's taxonomy places the organism in Eukaryota, Viridiplantae, Streptophyta, Magnoliopsida, Fabales, Fabaceae. The record is from RefSeq and is a predicted model, not a curated record.